AUGUCUCUGGAUGAAGAGCCGGUGCACGAGCAUAAUGGGCCGGCCCUGCUCAGGUUUGAAUCAAGAUGGCUGAAGGAGAAAAGAUUUUUGAAAGUUGUGCAACAAGCAUGGGAUCGGUCUCAUGCUCCAGCUGGGAAUGUAGUUUGGAUUCCACCACCGGCGGGUCAUCACAAGGUAAAUGUCGAUGCUGCUAUUUGUAAACAACCUCCUAUCGGGGCUAUAAGUGCGGUCUGUCGGGAUCAAUCAGGAGCAUUUGCUGGGUCAGCAGCGGUGGUAUUCCGUGGCAUGACCGACCCGAACAUACUGGAAGCUUUGGCAUGCCGCGAGGCUAUUGCUUUAGCCAGGGACCUUGCACUUGCUCAUUUGAAGGUAGCUUCGGAUUGCCUUUCGGUGGCCAAGGACAUACAUACUGGCACUAUGGGUACAAUUGCUCCAAUCGUGGAGGAGAUCAUCGACUCGAGUAGGGAGUUUCAGUCUUCUUCUUUCGUCCAUGAGAGACGUCUCUUUAAUAAGGAGGCUCAUGGCUUAGCUCGACAUGCUUUACAUUUAGGGGAGGGUUGGCAUGUAUGGCUGUUACACCCUCAUUAUACUUCUAUUAUUCCUGUAAUUCGCUCUAUUGAUCAAUAA
Molecule: ribosomal RNA, 627 nt
Filed under: Triticum aestivum (bread wheat)
Lineage: Eukaryota; Viridiplantae; Streptophyta; Magnoliopsida; Poales; Poaceae
Description: partial small subunit ribosomal RNA
Source: RNAcentral